GAGUUUGAUCUUGGCUCAGAAUCAACGCUGGCGGCGUGCCUAAUACAUGCAAGUCGAACGCGAAAGUCCCGCAAGGGGCAAGUAGAGUGGCAAACGGGUGAGUAACGCGUGGGCGACCUACCUUCGAGUGGGGGAUAACCUUCCGAAAGGAGGGCUAAUACCGCAUGACAUCCCGUGUUUGGAUACACGGACAUCAAAGCCGGGGAUCGCAAGACCUGGCGCUUGGAGAGGGGCCUGCGUCCGAUUAGCUAGUUGGUGGGGUAACGGCCCACCAAGGCUUCGAUCGGUAUCCGGCCUGAGAGGGCGGACGGACACACUGGGACUGAGACACGGCCCAGACUCCUACGGGAGGCAGCAGUAGGGAAUUGUUCGCAAUGGGCGCAAGCCUGACGACGCAACGCCGCGUGGAGGAUGAAGACCUUCGGGUCGUAAACUCCUUUCGUACCGAGAUGAAUACCAUCGACCUAACACGUCGAUGGCUGACAGUAUCGAGGAAGAAGCCCGGCUAACUCCGUGCCAGCAGCCGCCGCGGU
Molecule: ribosomal RNA, 533 nt
Filed under: uncultured Acidobacteriota bacterium
Lineage: Bacteria; Pseudomonadati; Acidobacteriota
Description: bacterial SSU rRNA
Rfam family: Bacterial small subunit ribosomal RNA
Source: RNAcentral